CUCUGGCUCAGUCACAUGUUCACUAAAAUUGGAACGAUACAGGGAAGAUGUGCGUGUCCCCUGCGCCAGCAGGACACACGAAUUUGUUAAUUGUUUUACAGUUUU
This is a small nuclear RNA of Mastomys coucha (southern multimammate mouse), 105 nucleotides long. The record is from RefSeq and is a predicted model, not a curated record. NCBI's taxonomy places the organism in Eukaryota, Metazoa, Chordata, Mammalia, Rodentia, Muridae.